UGGGGAAUCUUGCGCAAUGGGGGAAACCCUGACGCAGCGACGCCGCGUGCGGGAUGAAGGCCUUCGGGUUGUAAACCGCUUUCAGCAGGGACGAGGCCUUAUGGUGACGGUACCUGCAGAAGAAGCUCCGGCUAAAUACGUGCCAGCAGCCGCGGUAAUACGUAUGGAGCAAGCGUUAUCCGGAUUCAUUGGGCGUAAAGCGCUCGUAGGCGGUCUGUUAGGUCGGCAAGUUAAAUCCGGGGGCUCAACCCCCGUCCGCUUCCGAUACCGGCAGACUUGAGUUUGGUAGGGGAAGGUGGAAUUCCUAGUGUAGCGAUGGAAUGCGCAGAUAUUAGGAAGAACACCGGUGGCGAAAGCGGCUCUCUGGUCUGUAACUGACGCUGAGGCUCGAAAGCGUGGGGAGCGAACAGG
This 411-nucleotide ribosomal RNA is filed under the name Verrucomicrobiota bacterium. RNAcentral describes it as "Verrucomicrobia bacterium partial 16S ribosomal RNA". It matches the Rfam family "Bacterial small subunit ribosomal RNA", at positions 355 to 776 of the family's 1533-position model. Lineage: Bacteria; Pseudomonadati; Verrucomicrobiota. The record is from RNAcentral.